This is a long non-coding RNA of Micropterus dolomieu (smallmouth bass), 492 nucleotides long. RefSeq lists it as uncharacterized. The record is from RefSeq and is a predicted model, not a curated record. NCBI's taxonomy places the organism in Eukaryota, Metazoa, Chordata, Actinopteri, Centrarchiformes, Centrarchidae. The transcript is spliced from 4 exons.
AAGAAGAACCACAGUACAGACCUGGAAAGCAACAGAGGCUUUACUGUACACCUGCUACUGUCACUCUUUAUAAAGACCAGAAGUGGUGGAAAAUAAGUACAUCCAUAUCUUCAAAAUUUUAAUUCUCCAGCUGCUUCUGGAGGGAAAUGACCCCAGCAGAUGUUUGUCAUGAGAACAGAGAGGAGCAGGAAACCUAUGCCUCUUUGUCAAGACUCCACCUUAGUAUGAAAGGUAACAGUGGCAGUUUCUCAUGUCUGGAGGAGCGUUUGCUCAACUUCUUGACCUGCUGCUGGGCAACAGCUUUAACUGGUAAUUGGGGAAGCCGGCCAUUGCCAAUUUCUGUCAGGGUGCAUCUGUGUGCAACAGGUUUGGACAUAUGUGAAGUCAGGAGGUCAUUGACAUAUCCUGCAUGAACCUGGUAUUUAACAUAAAAUAAAUUGUCUUUUAAUUUCAAAUAUUGUUUCCAAUAUGAAAUUGACUAAAUAAAGUAAA